Molecule: long non-coding RNA, 1158 nt
Filed under: Numida meleagris (helmeted guineafowl)
Lineage: Eukaryota; Metazoa; Chordata; Aves; Galliformes; Numididae
Description: lncRNA (ENSNMEG00000016019.1)
Source: RNAcentral
CAAGCAUUUAUGACCUUGUAGCUAUAUCAUCAGAUUCUUAAUACAUACAUACUCUAGGUCAUCAGCAGAUUGUUUUCAUUUUCCUUUUGCUGGCUUUUAAAACUAUUGGACCAGGUCAUACAAAUUCCUACAGAGGACCUUUGAAAAAUCCUCAAGGCUUGACCUUUUCUGGGCACAGCCAUCUCCCCGGGUUAGUGUGUUCAAGUAGAGAAAUCAGGCUUGUUGCAAUCAUGCACAAUAAAGUAAUGCUCUCCCUGUUUUUUCAAAUGAAGGAGUUGUUGGCAGAUGUUGCCGGCUCCAUUUGUCUUUUUUGUAGUUUCAUGGUUCACUUUGCAGAUGGCCUUCAUGGAGGAUUUUAGUAAAGCGUUCCUGAACUUCAGAGUGUGGCCAGCGUUUGUCCUUCAGACGCAGGAAGGAGAGAGGGAGAGUACAUAUAAUUCAGAAAUAGGUUCACCUUUUGGUGAUCUAACUUUUAUUUUCCUUUACUAUUUACUUUGACUACGAUCAAUCAAUUAUUUCUUAACCUUUCCGUGGUUUGUAUCGUCAAGGGAGAAGGAAGUAUUAAGAGUGUGGACGAUCGGCCCUCCGUCAUUUGGAGCUUCCAACCCUUGGAUCAAACAGCCCAGGGAGAUGGUCUGUGGGUCAGCCGCAGUGCCUGAGCUGCCGAGCUGCUUCAGUCCUGGGCAUUGGCAUCUGCUGGAGGGUUGGAACCAUGUCUGUAGGGUCUCUGAGCCUGCCCCGAGCCUCUGAGCUGUGGGAACAACUUGUGCCAUUACGGAGCCUCACCUGCGUCCAAGUGGGAAGUCACCUGGCCAAUGACGAUGGAUCACAGCAGCACAAGGACCAUUUUGAGAUGGCGAUGGCACGAAGAGAAAGAAGGAAUAAAUCUCACGGGGACACUGUAGAUCUGUGCCUGUUCAUUCAGAGAAGAAGUGGAAGAAGAAGGAGAAAAGGAACGGAACGCUGCUGUACAUUAAUUGCACAAGAAAUGCAAAAUGGCCGAAAAUAGUGGCACAGCAUUUGUAAGGCUUUCUGGUUUUCAAAAAAUCAAAGGCAGAGGUAGAAAAACGAUCCAUCGGAUAUUUGUAGUUGCAAAGUGAGCGCUGGAACAAAACGAGCUGUGGCUGUUUCCCUGCUGCACAGCUCCCACCCGGUGCA